Molecule: ribosomal RNA, 333 nt
Filed under: Triticum aestivum (bread wheat)
Lineage: Eukaryota; Viridiplantae; Streptophyta; Magnoliopsida; Poales; Poaceae
Description: partial small subunit ribosomal RNA
Source: RNAcentral
AUGGGUGUUCGUCGACUGGCCCUGCCUCCGGCCGCCGCCACCGCAGCCGCCCACCUUCAUCCUCUCCCCAACCCCGUCGGCCUCCAAUCCACCCCACUCCUCCGCGGGUGCCACCAAACCAUCGCCGCCCUCUCCCCGCACCCGUACCCAAGGAAUCAGCCGGCGGCCAGAUCCGCCCCUCCACUCACCCAACUCUCCCUCCGCCGCCGCGGACCUAGCAGGGAAGACGCGGACGAGAUCCCAAGUCGCUGCUCCUCCUCUCCCGGGAUGCAGCCGCCGCCGCCGAACCAGGGAGACGCCGGCGACCAUCGCCGCCGUCGUGGAUCACCAUGA